GACGAACGCUGGCGGCGUGCCUAAUACAUGCAAGUCGAGCGGAAUGAUGAAGAAGCUUGCUUCUUCUGAUUUUAGCGGCGGACGGGUGAGUAACACGUGGGCAACCUACCUUGUAGAUUGGGAUAACUCCGGGAAACCGGGGCUAAUACCGAAUAAUCCAUUUUGCUUCAUGGCGAGAUGUUGAAAGACGGUUUCGGCUGUCACUACAAGAUGGGCCCGCGGCGCAUUAGCUAGUUGGUAGGGUAAUGGCCUACCAAGGCGACGAUGCGUAGCCGACCUGAGAGGGUGAUCGGCCACACUGGGACUAAGACACGGCCCAGACUCCUACGGGAGGCAGCAGUAGGGAAUCUUCCACAAUGGACGAAAGUCUGAUGGAGCAACGCCGCGUGAGUGAAGAAGGUUUUCGGAUCGUAAAACUCUGUUGUAAGGGAAGAACACGUACGAGAGUAACUGCUCGUACCUUGACGGUACCUUAUUAGAAAGCCACGGCUAACUACGUG
RNAcentral lists this ribosomal RNA (500 nucleotides) under uncultured bacterium. RNAcentral's name for it is "bacterial SSU rRNA". It matches the Rfam family "Bacterial small subunit ribosomal RNA", at positions 28 to 507 of the family's 1533-position model. The record is from RNAcentral.